UUGGGAAUUUUGGACAAUGGGGAAACCCUGAUCCAGCGAUGCCGCGUGAGUGAUGAAGGCCUUCGGGUCGUAAAGCUCUUUCAGCGGGGAAGAAGGGAAACUUGACGGUACCCGCAGAAGAAGCACCGGCUAACUCCGUGCCAGCAGCCGCGGUAAUACGGAGGGUGCAAGCGUUGUUCGGAAUCAUUGGGCGUAAAGCGCGUGUAGGCGGUCUUUUAAGUCUGGUGUGAAAGCCCGGGGCUCAACCCCGGAAGUGCACUGGAUACUGAUUGACUAGAGGACGGGAGAGGGAAGUGGAAUUCCAGGUGUAGGGGUGAAAUCCGUAGAUAUCUGGAGGAACAUCGGAAGCGAAGGCGGCUUCCUGGCCCGUAACUGACGCUGAGACGCGAAAGCGUGGGGAGCAAACAGGAUUAGAUACCCCGGUAGUCCCUGAGCGGGCUGGCAAGGCGCAU
RNAcentral lists this ribosomal RNA (452 nucleotides) under uncultured bacterium. RNAcentral describes it as "bacterial SSU rRNA". It matches the Rfam family "Bacterial small subunit ribosomal RNA", at positions 355 to 825 of the family's 1533-position model. The record is from RNAcentral.